UACGGAGGGAGCUAGCGUUGUUCGGAAUUACUGGGCGUAAAGCGCACGUAGGCGGCUUUGUAAGUUAGAGGUGAAAGCUCGGGGCUCAACUCCGGAACUGCCUUUAAGACUGCAUCGCUUGAAUCCAGGAGAGGUGAGUGGAAUUCCGAGCGUAGAGGUGAAAUUCGUAGAUAUUCGGAAGAACACCAGUGGCGAAGGCGGCUCACUGGACUGGUAUUGACGCUGAGGUGCGAAAGCGUGGGGAGCAAACAGG
Molecule: ribosomal RNA, 253 nt
Filed under: uncultured bacterium
Lineage: Bacteria
Description: partial 16S ribosomal RNA
Rfam family: Bacterial small subunit ribosomal RNA
Source: RNAcentral